RNAcentral lists this transfer RNA (64 nucleotides) under Glyptelasma gigas. RNAcentral describes it as "tRNA-Thr". It matches the Rfam family "tRNA". From Rfam's summary of the family: Transfer RNA (tRNA) molecules are approximately 80 nucleotides in length. Their secondary structure includes four short double-helical elements and three loops (D, anti-codon, and T loops). Lineage: Eukaryota; Metazoa; Arthropoda; Thecostraca; Poecilasmatidae. The record is from RNAcentral.
GUCUCAAUAAUUUAAAUAAAAUGUUGGUCUUGUAAACCAAAAAUAAGAAUUUUCUUUUAAGACU